UAUACCGCAUCUAUGUACCCAAUUAUCUUAUCUCAACUAUGCUUUACCGCCUUAGUAUUGCUUUAUAAGUUUGUUACUGUGAAGAAUACAUUAUAUUAAUUAUUAAAAACUUUUGUGUGGCAGCAUCACUCUCCUCUUCAGCGGGCAUUUGCAGAAAUGCGGCGGACAUUCAUACUGGUAACGUGGCUUCAUCGUCAUUUACUCGCACGGGGGCAUGCAGAAACGAACCCGAAAUUCAUAAAGUGAAUGUGUCUGCAACACCAACUUCGUCUGGUACUCGCACGUUUUGAACAAUGGGACGACAACAUUUAACUCCAUUCCCAAAGAGUUACAGUGUGUGAUGGUUUACAAAUGUAUACCUUAUUUUUUAAUAUUUGGAAGUAUUUUUAGAUGCACACCAAACUUUCACAGCUGACAUUUAGAAUCCUUUUCUUUUAAUUAGAGCCAUAUUGUACUGGUCAUAUAGAAUAUUGUUACAUGUAUACAUAUUGUUACUUUAUUAUUUAUAAUUACAAUGAAGCUUCUUCAUUUAUAAUUACAAUAAAGCUUCUUAAAUCUA
Misgurnus anguillicaudatus (oriental weatherfish) is the source of this 559-nucleotide non-coding RNA. Lineage: Eukaryota; Metazoa; Chordata; Actinopteri; Cypriniformes; Cobitidae. The record is from RefSeq and is a predicted model, not a curated record.